This is a non-coding RNA of Acanthosepion pharaonis, 109 nucleotides long. The record is from the annotation of a GenBank genome assembly. NCBI's taxonomy places the organism in Eukaryota, Metazoa, Mollusca, Cephalopoda, Sepiida, Sepiidae.
UUACGGCUAUAUCACGUUGAAACAUCGGUUCCCGUACGAUCACCGAAAUUAAGCAACGUCUAGUCUGGUCAGUACUUAGAUGAGUAACCGCUUGGGAAUAGUAGGUGUU